This 579-nucleotide long non-coding RNA is filed under the name Equus asinus (donkey). RNAcentral's name for it is "lncRNA (ENSEASG00005030041.1)". The record is from RNAcentral. Lineage: Eukaryota; Metazoa; Chordata; Mammalia; Perissodactyla; Equidae.
CAGCUGCCAUGUCAUGAAGAGAGGCCCACUGGUGAAGAACUGAGCCUCCAGCCAAGAGCCAUGUGAGGGCGCCAUCUUCGAACUGGAUCUUCCAGCCCCAGCCAACCUCUCGGCCACAAAUUCAUGAGACAGCCUGAACGAGAACCACCUAGGCAAGCUGCUCCCGAAGUCCUGACCCAUGGAAACUGCCAUGACACACAGACCAUAAGGUGACUCCAUCCAACUCAUGGCUGGGGGAAGCAAGCACUGCUAGCAAAGGCCACUGCUGCCCCAGAUCUGGAAGACGGAAGUCCAAGAUCAAGGUGCGGGGGUAUGGUCUCUCUCAUAGGGUUGUUGGGGAAAGCACGUGGAGAAACAGCAGCCCCACGACACACAGCUGAAUGAACACAGCAAAUUCCGGGACGGUAUCGGUGGGCCCCAGCUCUCCUGAAUCAGAAUGCCUGUGCCUUCCCGUUGAAUGGAUCUGGAGAGCGAUCCAGGCACGGAAUUUAAAAACAAAUUCACUAAAAACAAAGAACGCAAACAAAGAUUUCUCUCACAAGCAGCCCAGAGCUGAGAAGCACUGAUGAUAAUAAAGGC